AUGCCCCGUGACUGGGAAAAGAUUCAUCUCGCCGUGUGCCAGCCCUUGUUGGGCGCUCGGAGCACGCGUCUCCUCCCACCGCCUCCACAGGAUUCGGACACCAUGGGCGUUUGGCAUGAUAUGACCGGCUAUGCCCUUAUUACGGCGGCAGACCACCGCGCCGCCGGUGAUCGGGACCACCGCAGGCAGCCACUGUUCCAAGUGCUUUUCAUCACUAUAUGCUUCCAAAGAAAACUGGUGUACGCCUUCUCUUACUCCUCCGCCAAGAAUAGUUGGAGUGCACCUAUCAAGUGCUCCCAAACUUUCGGCCUCACUAGGUCUGGGCCGCUGGCUGGUGUGGUCAGCGGCGGCAUCGUGCAUUGGUUGUACACAAAUAAUACAAACUUCUACACCCUCAACAUAUCCGCUGACGCAGCAAACGUCUCCUUAACCGAGAUCUCUAUCCAAGUCAAAAGUGGCUUGUCACCGUUCCCGUGCGUCGUCGGGGAAGGAAAGCUCUCAUUUGUUAAUACAAGCGCCGAGGAUGUCCUAGAACUUUGGACAAAGCGAGAACAAGACAAUGAUCAUAGUGCUGAGGGUAAGGAAGGAUGGGUGCAGUCCGAGUUGAUGCCCCUAGAGGUCAAGGGAAUUGAAAUCUUGUCUUUCGCAGAGAGGUCAUGUGUGAUACUCAUGGUGCAAAAGGGGUGUCCUACCAUAUUCAGUCUUGACCUCGUGAGCAAGAAAAUACAGCCGAUGAUAAGGGAAAACCGUAAUAUGGCCAUGUUUUAUUCAUAUAACGGUGAUGAAAUGUGGAGAUGCAAGAACCAUGUGCUCUAUGAGAUUGAUUGGCCGUCAUACCUAUUUCACCUCUCAGCUCGAAGCCAAGACGUGCAAUAG
This 876-nucleotide ribosomal RNA is filed under the name Triticum aestivum (bread wheat). RNAcentral describes it as "partial small subunit ribosomal RNA". Lineage: Eukaryota; Viridiplantae; Streptophyta; Magnoliopsida; Poales; Poaceae. The record is from RNAcentral.